This 117-nucleotide non-coding RNA is filed under the name Gorilla gorilla gorilla (western lowland gorilla). The record is from Rfam by way of RNAcentral. Lineage: Eukaryota; Metazoa; Chordata; Mammalia; Primates; Hominidae.
GCCGGGCGUGGUGGCUCAUGCCUGUAAUCCCAGCACUUUGGGAGGCCGAGGCAGGUGGAUCACUUGAGGUCAGGAGUUUGAGACCAGCCUGGCCAACAUGGUGAAACCCUGUCUCUA